GGAGAUUUAGCUCAGUAGUUCAGCACAUGCUUAGCACACAUGAGACUCUGGGUUCAAUUCCCAGCACCA
This 69-nucleotide transfer RNA is filed under the name Marmota monax (woodchuck). It matches the Rfam family "tRNA". Rfam says of the family: Transfer RNA (tRNA) molecules are approximately 80 nucleotides in length. Their secondary structure includes four short double-helical elements and three loops (D, anti-codon, and T loops). Lineage: Eukaryota; Metazoa; Chordata; Mammalia; Rodentia; Sciuridae. The record is from Rfam by way of RNAcentral.